GCAUCGGGGUGGGUCCGUCGGUGAAGGGAGUGGAAGGGCGUACGUGGAGCUGAGGUGUGGGACCUAGGGAGUCUACGCGGCGGUGACGGCAGCAGUGGUUCUCUCUCUCUCUCUCCCUCUCUCUCUCUCUCUCUCUCUCACGAUCGCUACCGUUGCCGCCCGGUUUGCCUAACGGUUCGUGUACGCUUCACAUAGGCGACUCUAGCGACGGGAAGAUCUAGAGGCUUAGAGCGUGCUUUCUUCCUAGUACCCCUACCGCCGCCGCCGCCGGCCUCAGUGAAGGAGGUAGUAGGUGUCUCUACCAGUUUAGCUUCUUCUUCUUCUCCUCUCCGACUCGUACACGCAGCGACGGCACGUCCUUCUGCUACAUAGGCCCGGACGGCGGCGGCGGGGUAGCGUCCUUCUCCGCGGGAGUAUCCAACAGCUCCGGCUUCCGCUGGUGUUCUCUUUGGAGCUCCUCCACUCCACUUGCUGUGUCCCCUCCUACGGUUGGCUGACGCGCACCUUCUGACCUUCGGUUGCACGUCACUCGUUGCCAGCUACUGAUCCCGCUGUAGGUGUCGUUCCGCCUCGUCCGUAUUACAACAGCCGACGGUGUUCUCGUUUUCAGGCAGCCCGCCACGGAGACACCCCAGAGGGUCGGUUGCUGCUACUUUACUUCGAUGUUCUGGUCGGACGAGACAGAUCCCUACGCCGUUGGUAGUGACCUGUCUUUAAGGAUAAGAACUCGGAACUCAAGAGAGGAGAGGGUCGAACGUGAGCACUGACCGGCCUCUCGUUGAUGGCGUAAGUACCAAAGUAGUUUCAAAGGUGGUAAGACUAAGAAGAAGACUUAUAACAUCGCAACGACGUGAUAAAGACCGUACAGAGAUAUAACGGUAACCUACGGUUCGCCUUUCAGAGUCAAUAGAUUGUUUGAUUUAUCCCAGCACUACACUAGGUGGGACACUUCUCCCAUUAAAGACGAACACUAAACCCGUUCCUAGACCCACGAGAAGCAAACGAGUGACACAAACAAGGAUCCAAUCGUGGCGACAACAGUCGCCCAUCUUACCAGCUGACCGGUACCUCGGGAGACGCUCGUCCAUUGACUUAAAAGACUGGUUCCUCGAAAGAUUGGGACAUUUUUUAGUAAGAUUGUCAACGAUUAGUCAUUUAUACACAUUGACAAAGUCCACUCGAAUUAAAGAUCCCCAUACUCCACUAAGACCAGUGGAGGCCGCGGCAGCCGUAGCCCUCCAUCUCCGAGUACAUGGCUUUCGAGUAGCUGUCGUCAAAGCGACUAGACGUCUUGGGUGUCAAGCUGGACCUACCCUUCCGGAUGCGACGGCAGCCGGUCUCACCGGAGUACCGAUAGAUGCUAUGUGACGAAUCGGUUAACAAGCAGCAGACACAACAAUCGGUCGUUCAGACACAGCAAUCGGUCGUUCAACCCAUUAAGAAGACAACGAAGUGCCUAAAAGGACGUGCAACACAGACAUAAUAACAGUGACUUCUAUAUGGAGUUGACUUCUAGAUCGAGCGCUGCUACUACAUGGAUUCCGAGCCUACGUUCCACACUCAGUUGUUACGGUCAUCACUCAGCUCUCUUCACCUCUUCUCCCAGGGAGGUCCGAGGUAUGUACUUACCACCACCGUACACCGUUACAGCCCCUUUCGUUCCUUCUACAACAACAUGUAGCAGCUUGUAUAUUUGGGACCACCGGUUUGAUUUACAAAAUAUAAGGAAACCCUUUUAAAAUUCCUUUAGGGGGGUUUGUUUAAUAAGUCUAUUGAUGAAGUCCAAUCCGUUCUCUUUAUUUUUCCCAUUGGUAUCUAUAUACCAGAUCGUAGUGCUCCAAGUCCAAGGACGACAACUAGUUGGCAACGAAGUCAGCUCUCUAAUUUCUUCUGACUUUAUACCCGAGUUCGCUAACGAUACAGGCUGGACGUGUUCUUACGGUUCUUCAGAAAGAGCCUCUACUAAUUCCUGUACAUGGACGUGAUGUUGCUCUCUAGACCCGACGAAGAAACACCGAAGGUUUGAACUUUACAAACAAACCCUCAAUCAAAUCAAAAAACAAAACCUAAGUGUCGAAGAGUGUACAUGGUAGGAGAAUCUGGAAAUCUAAAAGUUUCUUUGAUUUACUUCUAUACCACCAUACCAGAGUUAUCAUGUUGAAUUUAGAAAGAUACGAAAUAUAAACGAGACUUUAAACGAGAGCUUCUUAGUACAUAGAUACAAUCUAGGGCACUCGAAAUAUAAACGAGACUUUAAACAAGAACUUCGUAGUACAUAAACACAAUCUAGGCCA
This 2294-nucleotide ribosomal RNA is filed under the name Triticum aestivum (bread wheat). RNAcentral describes it as "partial small subunit ribosomal RNA". The record is from RNAcentral. Lineage: Eukaryota; Viridiplantae; Streptophyta; Magnoliopsida; Poales; Poaceae.